Molecule: long non-coding RNA, 1557 nt
Organism: Girardinichthys multiradiatus
Lineage: Eukaryota; Metazoa; Chordata; Actinopteri; Cyprinodontiformes; Goodeidae
Exons: 2
Source: RefSeq, a predicted model, not a curated record
UAUGGAAGAGUUGAGCAGUGAAAAAAAAAAGUCGGAGAGGCAAAGCGGAUAUAGUUUGGAUGUGUGCUAGAAGGAUAGUGGACAUAUUGGACAAAUGAUGUGCGAAAUAAAUAUGCCAGGUUGGUGAAAAACGGAAGAGCACAGAGGAGUUUCAUGGAUUUAAUGAUCAACUGGACUUGAUUGCAUUUAUUUUAUUUUAUUUUUUAUUUUUGUGACACUAGUGGCCUUUAUUUUGUAAGUAGAUUGACAGGAAAUAGGGUGGAGAGAGAGAGAGUGGCGAAGACAUGCAGGAAAGGUCAAUGACGAGACUCAAACCUGUGACAGCUGCGUUGAGGACUCUAGCCUUCGUAUAUGGGUCACGUGCUUUACCCCUGGUCACCGUCACGUCUGACUGCAUUUUAUUUUGACUUGCGUUGAAUUGGACUGUAUUUAACUGCAUCUGAAUCUGACCUUAUGACUGGACUAUACUGGAAAUAAUUGAACUGGACAAUAUUGAAUUCUAAAUAACUGGGUAUGAUUUUGGACCUGCUGUGUUAGGUGACAGUUGUUGUGAAAUGGUGCUAUAUAAGUAAAGUGAGUUAAACUGAAGCUAUGGUGCACCGUAAAGGGAGCAGCAAAUAUAAAAAAUAACAAGAAAGUGACUUCUUUUGUCUUCCCUUCUGGCAGUUUCUACCACUUCUCUGUUUCUUUGUGUUGAAGGGCUUUUACACUUGUAGGAAUGCUUGUUGCAGAGCCAGAUGUUUAUCACAUAUUUUCAAUAGCAUUUAUAUCAAGAUUAUUUUCUUGUUGUCAGUUUUAGAAAAUAUUUUCUUGUGUACCCUGUGUUUUAUUUUUGGUGAAAGUUUCCAUACGCUGCUUGAAACAUUCACAUCAGAAAUCCAACAGACCACCUGAAGUACAGCAGUUAAGGGUCAAAUUAAUUUUAUUUAAAAAAAUACUUCUCUUAAAAUGCAUUAACACAUGAGUUAGUUUCUGUAAAGGAUAAAUUGGUUACAUUUCUGUAUUUAAAAGAGCUUUUAGUAUAUUUUAAAACUCUGAAAAUGGAGGGGUGCAACUUUAAAGUAACUCACCUAUGACUCAUCAAUUUAAAGUACAGUGAACACCACUCUCAGGUUUUCAUUUUCCAAGUCCAAGCCUCAAAGCUCCUCCAACCUUCAGCCUUGGCUCAAAGUCUCAGCUUUGGGUCCUGCCUCAGUCAGAGCUUCAAAUCCUUCAAGAAACUUACCUGGCUAAAGUACUAGCUGACAGCUCAAGACUACCUCCUUCAGUAAGCAAACCCUGCUCACCCUCCAACUACUACCUUCACAUGAAGCUUCUGAAAAACUCACCAGGUAACACAUGUAAAAAUCAAACUGUCAAGACCUCACCUGAACCUUCCCUUGAGAACUCGCCACCUCUUUGGACUGACACAGCAGCUGCAUUACCGUUCUCCCAGGCUCCACAUAAUUCUCCCUCGUCAAAACUCCUCUUCAUCUCCAUUUGGUGUCUCCAGCCCUGGUUCCAGUUCCAUUAUUCACUACUAAAAAAAAUAAAUAAAAUAAACUUGUUAAACUUUUC